RNAcentral lists this small RNA (58 nucleotides) under Caulobacter vibrioides OR37. RNAcentral's name for it is "sRNA CC0196". It matches the Rfam family "Caulobacter sRNA CC0196". The record is from RNAcentral. Lineage: Bacteria; Pseudomonadati; Pseudomonadota; Alphaproteobacteria; Caulobacterales; Caulobacteraceae.
UCUUUGAAGGCACCCACCAUCACUGACUUUGCCAGCCCGGCCGCGAGGUCGGGCUGUU